RNAcentral lists this transfer RNA (72 nucleotides) under Stegodyphus mimosarum. It matches the Rfam family "tRNA". Rfam says of the family: Transfer RNA (tRNA) molecules are approximately 80 nucleotides in length. Their secondary structure includes four short double-helical elements and three loops (D, anti-codon, and T loops). The record is from Rfam by way of RNAcentral. Lineage: Eukaryota; Metazoa; Arthropoda; Arachnida; Araneae; Eresidae.
GCCUUCGUCGUGUAACGGUUAGCACAUUCGGAUCGUAUAUGAGAGGUCCAGGUUCAAGUCUCGGCUAGGGCA